GACGAACGCUGGCGGCGUGCUUAACACAUGCAAGUCGAACGGAAAGGCCCUGCUUGCAGGGUACUCGAGUGGCGAACGGGUGAGUAACACGUGGGUAAUCUGCCCUGCACUUCGGGAUAACCCUGGGAAACUGGGUCUAAUACCGGAUAGGAGCCCCUGUUGGUGUGAUGGUGGGGAAGUUUUUUCGGUGUAGGAUGAGCUCGCGGCCUAUCAGCUUGUUGGUGGGGUAAUGGCCUACCAAGGCGGCGACGGGUAGCCGGCCUGAGAGGGUGGACGGCCACAUUGGGACUGAGAUACGGCCCAGACUCCUACGGGAGGCAGCAGUGGGGAAUAUUGCACAAUGGGUGCAAGCCUGAUGCAGCGACGCCGCGUGGGGGAUGACGGCCUUCGGGUUGUAAACUCCUUUCGCUAGGGACGAAGCUUUUUGUGACGGUACCUAGAUAAGAAGCACCGGCUAACUACGUG
RNAcentral lists this ribosomal RNA (465 nucleotides) under uncultured bacterium. RNAcentral describes it as "partial 16S ribosomal RNA". It matches the Rfam family "Bacterial small subunit ribosomal RNA", at positions 28 to 507 of the family's 1533-position model. The record is from RNAcentral.